CCUGUUCGAGCGUCAUUGCAACCCUCAAGCUCUGCUUGGCAUUAGGCCUCACCUGUUAGGCGGGCCAUAAAAUCAGUGGCGGUGCCAUUAGGCUUCAAGCAUAGUAAUACUUCUGCUUAGGAGACUGCGUGUUACCUGCUAAUAACCCCAAUAUUUUAAAGGUUGACCUCGGAUCAGGUAGGGAUACCCGCUGAACUUAA
This 200-nucleotide unclassified non-coding RNA is filed under the name soil metagenome. Its description in RNAcentral is "partial contains internal transcribed spacer 2 and large subunit ribosomal RNA". The record is from RNAcentral.